RNAcentral lists this ribosomal RNA (215 nucleotides) under uncultured bacterium. Its description in RNAcentral is "partial 16S ribosomal RNA". It matches the Rfam family "Bacterial small subunit ribosomal RNA", at positions 524 to 736 of the family's 1533-position model. The record is from RNAcentral.
UACGUAGGGGCGAGCGUUGUCCGAAGUUACUGGGCGUAAAGCGCGCGUAGGCGGUCUUUUAAGUCUGGUGUGAAAGGUUCAGGGCUCAACCCGAACAGUGCACUGGAUACUGGGAGACUUGAGUAUGGGAGAGGAGGAGCGGAAUUCCUGGUGUAGCGGUGAAAUGCGUAGAUAUCAGGAGGAACACCGAUGGCGAAGGCAGCUCGUCUGGCCUG